Molecule: small nucleolar RNA, 71 nt
Organism: Sitophilus oryzae (rice weevil)
Lineage: Eukaryota; Metazoa; Arthropoda; Insecta; Coleoptera; Curculionidae
Source: RefSeq, a predicted model, not a curated record
AUGAUUAUGAUGAUUUGUAUUACCGCCCCAGUCUGAAAUAUUCAUGACUGAUUGGUUGUAGCUGAUAUUAA